GAUAUGUAUAGGUGUAUUUACUAAAAGAACAGUAUUGAUUUUUAAAUUGCAAACUUAUUGAUUAAACAAAUCACGAUAAAUCACAAGCUCCGCAAAUCGGGAAUGGGCCGGUCGAUAGAAGUCUGGCUCAGAGCAGAGAUGAGUCGUAAAGAAUAGGCGUCGCCAACUUUUCCCAUGGAGGGCAUAAAUUGGAUUCGGAAGCAGAUCACGUAACGGUUAAGAGUUCACAAAACUGUGCCAUAAAUCGGACGCGCGGAGGUGCGCCGGAGACAAACGGCAUGGCUCCUCGACAUUCAUGGCUGCCUGGUACUGAACUGUCCCGAGGUGGCUUCAAAUAAUGGGGUGUCUUUAGUUAAUUGGACGUAUCGUUAUUUUCUGGAUAAAAGAAACAUUAUCUUAAUACAUAUAAACUUAAAUUAAAA
This is a long non-coding RNA of Leguminivora glycinivorella, 422 nucleotides long. RefSeq lists it as uncharacterized. The transcript is spliced from 2 exons. The record is from RefSeq and is a predicted model, not a curated record. NCBI's taxonomy places the organism in Eukaryota, Metazoa, Arthropoda, Insecta, Lepidoptera, Tortricidae.